RNAcentral lists this ribosomal RNA (497 nucleotides) under uncultured bacterium. RNAcentral's name for it is "partial 16S ribosomal RNA". It matches the Rfam family "Bacterial small subunit ribosomal RNA", at positions 28 to 507 of the family's 1533-position model. The record is from RNAcentral.
GACGAACGCUGGCGGCGUGCCUAAUACAUGCAAGUUGAGCGCUGAAGGUUGGUACUUGUACCAACUGGAUGAGCAGCGAACGGGUGAGUAACGCGUGGGGAAUCUGCCUUUGAGCGGGGGACAACAUUUGGAAACGAAUGCUAAUACCGCAUAAAAACUUUAAACACAAGUUUUAAGUUUGAAAGAUGCAAUUGCAUCACUCAAAGAUGAUCCCGCGUUGUAUUAGCUAGUUGGUGAGGUAAAGGCUCACCAAGGCGAUGAUACAUAGCCGACCUGAGAGGGUGAUCUGCCACAUUGGGACUGAGACACGGCCCAAACUCCUACGGGAGGCAGCAGGAGGGAAUCUUCGGCAAUAGACGAAAGGCUGACCGAGCAACGCCGCGUGAGUGAAGAAGGUUUUCGGAUCGUAAAACUCUGUUGGUAGAGAAGAACGUUGGUGAGAGUGGAAAGCUCAUCAAGUGACGGUAACUACCCAGAAAGGGACGGCUAACUACGUG